Long non-coding RNA from Bactrocera dorsalis (oriental fruit fly), 1658 nucleotides. RefSeq lists it as uncharacterized. The record is from RefSeq and is a predicted model, not a curated record. The transcript is spliced from 3 exons. NCBI's taxonomy places the organism in Eukaryota, Metazoa, Arthropoda, Insecta, Diptera, Tephritidae.
AAAAUAAUUAAUCAAUACGGGCGAUAACCAGGCGUUUUGAAUCACUGCAGUAGUAGAGGAUCUUGUUUUAGCGCUGUUGGGGAUCGCGUAUAACUCGACAAAUAUUUAAUUUUUUUCUUUAAGAAUUUUACUGUGUUUUCUUCCAAAAAUAUGUAUAAAUAUACCUUCAUUUAAAACAAUUGAGACAAAAUUAUUUUUCGUUUUUUUAAUUAUCACAAACCUUUUUUUUUUGGCUGCCACAUUAGGUGUGCCCUUUAAAGAUAUUUUAUAAUCUAUAUUUUUGCAUUAAUUUUUUUAUUAUUUUCACAAUUUUUUUUAUACAAAAAUAUACAUUUAAUAAAUAUUAUUUAUUUUGCAGGUACAUACAUAUAUAAUAUAUAUAUAUAUAUAUAUAUAUGAGACUUCGAUUAAGUUAUCUCAAAUAAAAUUAUCUACCUGUUAAAUACAUAAUUAAAGUUGAAAAUUGCUAUAAAUUGCUUUUUGAGUGUUCUUUAGAAGAAGAAGGAAACACGGAAAUCUCUUUGAAUUUAAAACAUAUCUACAUAUAUACGGAUGUGAAGCAGACAGAUGUUCUAGAAAACCGUAAGUACUUUUUUAUGUAAACAUAUAAAUAAAAGUAAAAAAAAAAAGAUAUUGGAAACAAUUUUCAAAUUAGCUUCUAAUAGACCAAGGAAAUAACUAAAAUAAAACUAAAAAAAAAUAUAAAAAAAAAUCUUAGUAGGAUGAAAUCCAUUCAAACAUAAAAUGACAAAAAUAAAAAGAAAAGUUUACUAUAGUAAACAUAAAUUUUUUUGACAAAAUGCAAUUUUUUUAUUUAAUCGAGUACUCCUUAAGGGUGAUACACAGAUUAUAACGACCCUCUAACUUUUCGAAACAAUUUUUGUACAAUUUGUUCUUUGCUUCAAAAUAGGCCCCAGUUUCGGCGAUCACCGCUUCAUUUGACGAAAAUGUUUUCCCAGCGAGUACUCUUUUGAGAUCUGAGAACAGGAAAUCGUCGCUGGGGUCAGAUCUAAAGAAUAUAUGGAGGAUGUGGAAUCAAUUCGAAGCCCAAUUUAUUGAAUUAUGUCACUGACCUGUGACACGGUGCAUUAGCUUGGUGAAACAGCACUUUCUUUUUCUUCAAAUGCGGUGUUUUGUCCUUCAAACAGUCCAAUAAAGCUAAAUACCAUAUAUAAUUGUCGCUGUUCUGGUUCUUCCUUUGUCAAGUUAGCUAUUAAAAAGUAUUCCAAGCGCUGCCACAAAUUUGGGCCCCGGGCGCAACGUCUUGGGGGCGGCAAAACAAUGUUCGACGGUAUUCGAAAACUCCGAUUUGGGAAAAAAUUCCUGCGAAUUGUGUAAAAAGUGUACAAGAUAUUGAGAUGGGUAUUUUCUAUGGCUUUUAAUAAGAUGUCUCGUAAAUUUACUAUUAAUUUCCUCAGAAACCGUAUUGUGAGAAUUUUAGAAUUUUCAGAAUUUGCGUGGCUUCUAGUUCCUAAAUUUUAUAUACUUAAUAUCGAAGAUAUUUUGUAAAAAUUCACUUUAGUUCGAACCACCUCAUGAAACUUGUAGGUAGGUAGAAAAAAGGGUGCGGCAGAACAUCCUUGGCCCCGGGCGCCCGAAGUUGUAGCUACGCCACUGGUCAUCCAGAAUUAUUUUUUUGGGAUUUUUUUGAUGUUUUC